This 449-nucleotide ribosomal RNA is filed under the name uncultured organism. RNAcentral's name for it is "partial 16S ribosomal RNA". It matches the Rfam family "Bacterial small subunit ribosomal RNA", at positions 330 to 796 of the family's 1533-position model. The record is from RNAcentral.
CGUACACUCCUACGGGAGGCAGCAGUGGGGAAUAUUGGACAAUGGGCGCAAGCCUGAUCCAGCCAUGCCGCGUGAGUGAUGAAGGCCCUAGGGUUGUAAAGCUCUUUCACCGGUGAAGAUAAUGACGGUAACCGGAGAAGAAGCCCCGGCUAACUUCGUGCCAGCAGCCGCGGUAAUACGAAGGGGGCUAGCGUUGUUCGGAUUUACUGGGCGUAAAGCGCACGUAGGCGGACUAUUAAGUCAGGGGUGAAAUCCCGGGGCUCAACCCCGGAACUGCCUUUGAUACUGGUAGUCUUGAGUUCGAGAGAGGUGAGUGGAAUUCCGAGUGUAGAGGGGAAAUUCGUAGAUAUUCGGAGGAACACCAGUGGCGAAGGCGGCUCACUGGCUCGAUACUGACGCUGAGGUGCGAAAGCGUGGGGAGCAAACAGGAUUAGAUACCCUAGUAGUCC